RNAcentral lists this ribosomal RNA (472 nucleotides) under uncultured bacterium. Its description in RNAcentral is "bacterial SSU rRNA". It matches the Rfam family "Bacterial small subunit ribosomal RNA", at positions 355 to 825 of the family's 1533-position model. The record is from RNAcentral.
UGGGGAAUUUUGGACAAUGGGCGCAAGCCUGAUCCAGCCAUGCCGCGUGAGUGAAGAAGGCCUUCGGGUUGUAAAGCUCUUUCGGCGGGGACGAAACGGUUCGUGACAACACCACGGACUAAUGACGGUACCCGCAUAAGAAGCACCGGCUAACUACGUGCCAGCAGCCGCGGUAAUACGUAGGGUGCAGGCGUUAAUCGGAAUUACUGGGCGUAAAGCGUGCGCAGGCGGUUUGUUAAGACAGGUGUGAAAUCCCCGGGCUUAACCUGGGAAUUGCGCUUGUAACUGGCAGGCUAGAGUGUGGCAGAGGGGGGUGGAAUUCCACGUGUAGCAGUGAAAUGCGUAGAUAUGUGGAGGAACACCUGUGGCGAAGGCGGCCACCUGGUUGGAUACUGACGCUGAGACGCGAAAGCGUGGGGAGCAAACAGGAUUAGAUACCCCAGUAGUCCCUGAGCGGGCUGGCAAGGCGCAU